GCGUCUUUAAUUCUAGGAACGAUUCAUUCAGGUGGUCCUUACAAUCUAUAAGAGAAAGAAUGCAGACUCAGGACAGGGCUCCUCCAGCGAAUCCCCACUGCUGCAGUCUGUGGGACACUUACCACGGGGCUGCGAGUCCUCACGACCUCCCUGGCAGAUGGGGACACUGAGGCCUAGAGAGAUUACAUGGCCGGACCCAGCCGCGCAGCAGCACGAGGUGGCGGCAGCCACACAGUGUCAGGGCUGAGGCCUCGAGGGCGAGCUUCCAGACACAGGGACGAGGACGGGCUUGACGUGGGGCUUCAGGCCUGAGCCAGCGCCCCUGGUGCCCCGCGGGACAGUAAGCUCCCCGUCUGGAGACGGCCCCUUCCCCUGUGAAUGGGGUCUGCUAAGAGAUUCCCCGACGCUGACCCUCAGGUAGUGAAGUCCAUGACAAAGUCUCCUCCCAGCCACAGCGAAAUAAGGAGAAGGAGGACAAGGCCCCUCUGUAGGCACUGAGUGAGACUGAGAAGCAGACAGACAGACUGUCUCUGGGACAGACGGAUGACAGACAUACUCCCUCCCCCACCCUCCUAGGCUCAUCCUGCCUCAUGCUGGAGACCCAAAAUCCCAGACAUUGCCGCCAGCCCCGCAGUCCAGCAAACACAGGCAGAGUCCAGGGAACCUGGUGUGGGCCGGGCCCUGUGUGCAUUUCCCUGUCUCUGGCUCAGGGCCUGGCAUACAGGAGGUGCUCAACAGUUGUUGACUGAAUGAAUGGCUGGGUACUUGGGCUGCCUAGUCGUGUCUCCCGCCCACCUUUGCCCUGAGCAACAGGAGCCACAUCUGUCGUAGAGCUCUGGACAGCAACUGGAGCCAGCGCAGUGGGGGCAUCUGGAGCCCUAUUGUCUGAGCUGCCGUGGCCCGGGCUCUCGAUGCCUGUCAGGGGAAAGCAUCUUUGCUGACACAUUUGGCCCCAUUUCCAAGGGAGAGUCCACAGCCUGCUCUCUGGUUUUAUAAAGCCACGGGGAAAGGAUGAGUGGACUCCAGGAAGCCAGGGCUUCAAGGAACCAUGGCACCUGACCACCAUGGAAACAUCCCCGCACCAGCCUCAGGGUCAGAGUGAGGGCCAGCUUCAGGGACCACCGGAUGCAGGCUGUUGUCACUCAGAGACUCACUCCCCACUGGAUGUGCAGCUGAGACUUGUGGGCUGGCAAAGAUUCCUGGGUGGUUGUGCACAGAGGUGUUAUCCAGAGACAGCCAGGGGGCGUUAAUUGUGUGGCUCUUUGGGAAGACAGUUUGGUUCUAUGAAGCACAAUUGAGGAAGUCCUUUGGAUCCAGCAGUUGCACAUCUAGGAAUGUGCUCUACACACGCACGAGUACACUAACUACAGCAUCAUGUGAAAGACACAACCUAAAUAUCCAUCAGCUGGGAAUUGGUUGGAAAAAGGGGCAAAAUGGAAUUCUAUGAGGCCACUUAAAAGAAUGAGGCAGAACCUCAUAUACUUUCUUGAAAAUAUGCCCAUUAAACAGUGUUAUGUGAAAAUAAAAAAGUUGCAGAAUAUAUAUGGUUUGAUACCAUUGGCAAAAAAAAAACAUCAUCUACUAAAUAAGUUUACGUAUGUAAGGGUUUGUGCGUGUAUUCACACAUGUGUAUAAGUAAAAUCUAUUUUUCAACCACUCCAGGAGGUGGGGACUGUCAUUACUCC
Molecule: long non-coding RNA, 1685 nt
Organism: Marmota monax (woodchuck)
Lineage: Eukaryota; Metazoa; Chordata; Mammalia; Rodentia; Sciuridae
Exons: 3
Source: RefSeq, a predicted model, not a curated record